Molecule: ribosomal RNA, 491 nt
Filed under: uncultured bacterium
Lineage: Bacteria
Description: bacterial SSU rRNA
Rfam family: Bacterial small subunit ribosomal RNA
Source: RNAcentral
AGUUUGAUCCUGGCUCAGAUUGAACGCUGGCGGCAUGCCUUACACAUGCAAGUCGAACGGUAACAGGUCUUCGGAUGCUGACGAGUGGCGAACGGGUGAGUAAUACAUCGGAACGUGCCCGAUCGUGGGGGAUAACGGAGCGAAAGCUUUGCUAAUACCGCAUACGAUCUACGGAUGAAAGCAGGGGACCGCAAGGCCUUGCGCGGACGGAGCGGCCGAUGGCGGAUUAGGUAGUUGGUGGGAUAAAAGCUUACCAAGCCGACGAUCUGUAGCUGGUCUGAGAGGACGACCAGCCACACUGGGACUGAGACACGGCCCAGACUCCUACGGGAGGCAGCAGUGGGGAAUUUUGGACAAUGGGCGAAAGCCUGAUCCAGCCAUGCCGCGUGCAGGAUGAAGGCCUUCGGGUUGUAAAGCUCUUUUACCCGGGAUGAUAAUGACGGUACCGGGAGAAUAAGCCCCGGCUAACUCCGUGCCAGCAGCCGCGGUAA